GGACAUAGCUCAGUGGUAGAGCACUUGCCUAGCAUGUGGAAGGGCCUGGGUUCCAUCCCCAGAACCA
This 67-nucleotide transfer RNA is filed under the name Marmota monax (woodchuck). Its description in RNAcentral is "tRNA.Ala". Lineage: Eukaryota; Metazoa; Chordata; Mammalia; Rodentia; Sciuridae. The record is from RNAcentral.